UGUGGUUCGCUUACUAGUUGAUGUCUACUGAUGGAAACGGAGGGGAAAAAAAAUAGUUAUAACUAAAAUCACUACAACAAAAACGGUCUAUAACAACACUUUUAAAUGUAGGUACAUAUCAAAAAAGUGCUGCUAGCUAAAAUUACCGACACUUUUAAAAAGUGUUGCUAUACGUGGGGUCGCUAGGAAUAUAGUGACAGUUAAAGAGUGUCGCUAUAACCUAAAAGAGUGCUGCUAAUUUAUCAACACUUAUUUAAGCAUUUAGCAACCGCCGAAACUCUAUCUCGUUGGCUGCGGUGGCGAAGAAGGACGACAGUAAAGGCUCUUCGUCUAGAAUUUCAGUGGAUUGAGUGAAGAGAGAAGAAAAGAUGGUAAUUGAUUUUUCUUUUUUUUUUCUUUUCUGUUUGUAAUCGGGCCAAAUGGACUGGGUGUGGUAGGUUGAGUAGAGUAAUCUUUUAUUUUUGGUUGGAUUGGGCUUUAUAUUUAGGCAUUAGUAGAUGUGUUUUUAAGUUUUAGCAUAAAUGGGACACUUACUCAAAAGUGUCCUAAAUAUGUGUCUCUACAACCUAAUUCUGUUGUAGUGAAUGGAGUACAAAAGGAUGUCUUUCGCUGAUAGCGCU
Molecule: long non-coding RNA, 620 nt
Filed under: Ananas comosus (pineapple)
Lineage: Eukaryota; Viridiplantae; Streptophyta; Magnoliopsida; Poales; Bromeliaceae
Description: long non-coding RNA (ACOM_LNC000391)
Source: RNAcentral